Non-coding RNA from Clostridium sp. CAG:127, 48 nucleotides. The record is from Rfam. Lineage: Bacteria; Bacillati; Bacillota; Clostridia; Eubacteriales; Clostridiaceae.
ACUUGACUUUUAAUCAAGUUGUCGGGGGUUCGAUUCCCCCGUGGCUCA